This 1035-nucleotide long non-coding RNA is filed under the name Sorghum bicolor (sorghum). RNAcentral's name for it is "long non-coding RNA (SBIC_LNC008989)". Lineage: Eukaryota; Viridiplantae; Streptophyta; Magnoliopsida; Poales; Poaceae. The record is from RNAcentral.
UUUUGACGUAAUUUCUCUUGAUGUAGCUAGCAGGUGGCGGAGGUGUAUUUGAAAGUCGGCAGCACCCUGACAGCGAUUAGAAUGUCCUCCGUCUGCUAGUCUUCUUGAUUCUUAAAUUCUGUGGAGCUCAAAUAGACAACAAAGCUUUGUGGAACUGAUUAAGUGUUAGCAUAAAUAUCUAGCCUUUAUCAUGUUGAGCCUCCUCAAUAAAUAUUACUCUCUAUUUUUAUAUUUUCGUUUUAUAAAGCAGAAAAGAAAUAUUUAUUUUAUUUUUAUGCCACCACAGUGAAUGUACUUAUGGGUUUUAUGCCACUCGUAUACUCACAUGGGGCUUACUGUUUUUUAACAUUUUUAUUUUCUUUUUAGGAUAGUAUAAACCUGAUUAACUAAGCAAACUAGUUGAAAUAAUUGAAAGGAAAAAGAUAACUACCAAGUUUACCUCUUGGCAAGGCGUUCGGUGUUUUUAAGUCCUCCGAACGGGACUUCUCCGUUUUCUAGUUGUCGUGGGAUUCGUUGGGUGGCGUAGUCGGUGCUUCCGGCGGCGCCUCUUCUUCAUGUAUAAUUAUCUUCUCUCUCCACACCUGACUCGGUGCUACGGUCUCCUCUGGAUAAUUUUGUUUAAACUGAAUGUCUUCUGACCUUAUCACUUCUCCUUCAUAGUCUGCCCAUCCAUCCUUGAUAAUUUUCCUCGUCUGGUUGCGGUUGCGUCGUUUUCUUCUUGUCCUGACCUGCUUAGAGUCUUCAACGAUAUAGUUAGGGUCACUAAAAUAGCGGCGUACCUUCUGUUGACGGUCUUUAAGUACCAAAUAUAAUCAUCAAAUAAAUAAAGAAAAGGAUCCAAAUGCAACCAACACCCAGACUUAGGGUUUUAUCUGACAGAAUUCCACGAGUUUUGGUGUUUGUCUAUUUCUGCAGGGGGUUAUCAGGAAAUAAGGAAGAAAGGCCCACAUGUCGGGAUUAUAUAGAGAUAUCAACGCACCGCGCAAUUUUCUACCAUCUAGAAGACUCCAGAAGCCACGGGAAGAAAGCAGAGGC